UAGGGAAUCUUCCGCAAUGGACGAAAGUCUGACGGAGCAACGCCGCGUGAACGAUGAAGGCUUUCGGGUCGUAAAGUUCUGUUGUCAGGGAAGAACAAGUACCGGAGUAACUGCCGGUACCUUGACGGUACCUGACCAGAAAGCCACGGCUAACUACGUGCCAGCAGCCGCGGUAAUACGUAGGUGGCAAGCGUUGUCCGGAAUUAUUGGGCGUAAAGCGCGCGCAGGCGGUUCCUUAAGUCUGAUGUGAAAGCCCCCGGCUCAACCGGGGAGGGUCAUUGGAAACUGGGGAACUUGAGUGCAGAAGAGGAGAGCGGAAUUCCACGUGUAGCGGUGAAAUGCGUAGAGAUCGGAAAGAACACCAACGGUGAAAACACUCUGCUGG
This 385-nucleotide ribosomal RNA is filed under the name uncultured bacterium. RNAcentral's name for it is "bacterial SSU rRNA". It matches the Rfam family "Bacterial small subunit ribosomal RNA", at positions 355 to 732 of the family's 1533-position model. The record is from RNAcentral.